This 377-nucleotide long non-coding RNA is filed under the name Sorghum bicolor (sorghum). Its description in RNAcentral is "long non-coding RNA (SBIC_LNC006382)". The record is from RNAcentral. Lineage: Eukaryota; Viridiplantae; Streptophyta; Magnoliopsida; Poales; Poaceae.
CCUGCAGGUCUUCAGUCCAAGGUCUCCUAUCUUUAGGAGGACCUUGACUUGCUGAUCAGAUGAAGAUGAUGGAGCUUGCGGGGGCGUCAGGUCAAUGCUCAUCUCUGACUGGUGCGGGGAGUGUCGGGAUGAGCUCCUCGUACCUAUGUUCUUGAAGGCCUUGCCCGUGUUCUUUACCUUUUUGAACAUCCUGAACAAAAGUUGACACAAACACAACUAGUGGAAAAUGUGAGAGAAAAUGUUAGUGGUCAGCUGUCCGAAAUGUCAGUAGUCCAGGGGUUAGUCGUUCAAGACAAGUUUUUAUUUUGGCAGUACUGUCGGUGCAAAAGCUGAUCUGCAAACAAAAAGUGCUAAUACCCGAUUCAAACGUUAAGGCG